Molecule: ribosomal RNA, 497 nt
Filed under: uncultured bacterium
Lineage: Bacteria
Description: partial 16S ribosomal RNA
Rfam family: Bacterial small subunit ribosomal RNA
Source: RNAcentral
GAUGAACGCUGGCGGCGUGCCUAAUACAUGCCAGUCGAGCGAACAGACGAGGAGCUUGCUCCUCUGACGUUAGCGGCGGACGGGUGAGUAACACGUGGAUAACCUACCUAUAAGACUGGGAUAACUUCGGGAAACCGGAGCUAAUACCGGAUAAUAUUUUGAACCGCAUGGUUCAAUAGUGAAAGACGGUCUUGCUGUCACUUAUAGAUGGAUCCGCGCCGCAUUAGCUAGUUGGUAAGGUAACGGCUUACCAAGGCAACGAUGCGUAGCUGACCUGAGAGGGUGAUCGGCCACACUGGAACUGAGACACGGUCCAGACUCCUACGGGAGGCAGCAGUAGGGAAUCUUCCGCAAUGGGCGAAAGCCUGACGGAGCAACGCCGCGUGAGUGAUGAAGGUCUUCGGAUCGUAAAACUCUGUUAUUAGGGAAGAACAAAUGUGUAAGUAACUAUGCACGUCUUGACGGUACCUAAUCAGAAAGCCACGGCUAACUACGUG